RNAcentral lists this long non-coding RNA (413 nucleotides) under Pan troglodytes (chimpanzee). RNAcentral's name for it is "long non-coding RNA NONPTRT013587". Lineage: Eukaryota; Metazoa; Chordata; Mammalia; Primates; Hominidae. The record is from RNAcentral.
UAUCAAAAGAAACUUCCUAAGCACUAUGCAGGGGGAAGCCAUGACAUUUAUCUGCCACUGUCAGCAAAAACAUGAACUUAGCCCUCAACAGAAUAUUUCACUUCAAUUAUAAAGGUUUAGACUUGGACUUUGUACACUGAAGAAAAGAAAACUGCACGCAUUUAUAUUGAUCAGCCAAAUACAAUUCUCAUUGAAAUCACCUAACUGAAACUGAAAUCACCAUUCUAGGCUGGUUUUCCCAUAACGAUGGACUGCUCCAAAAAGAAGAAUCAAGAAAGAAUUUGUCUCACAGUGAAUUAUUCAAACUUUGUCUUAGUUAACUAAAAAUAAAAUCUGACUGUUAACUACAGAAAUCAUUUCAAAUUCUGUGGUGAUAAUAAAGUAAUGACCGCUUUUCAGCUGGAGGGACUAAC